GCUGAUUUAGCUCAGUUGGUAGAGCAAUUGAUUCGUAAUCAAUGGGUCGGAGGUUCGAGCCCUCUAGUCAGCACCA
Molecule: transfer RNA, 76 nt
Filed under: Metamycoplasma arthritidis
Lineage: Bacteria; Bacillati; Mycoplasmatota; Mycoplasmoidales; Metamycoplasmataceae
Also listed under: 1 other name
Description: Mycoplasma arthritidis tRNA-Thr(cgt)
Rfam family: tRNA
About the family: Transfer RNA (tRNA) molecules are approximately 80 nucleotides in length. Their secondary structure includes four short double-helical elements and three loops (D, anti-codon, and T loops). Further hydrogen bonds mediate the characteristic L-shaped molecular structure. tRNAs have two regions of fundamental functional importance: the anti-codon, which is responsible for specific mRNA codon recognition, and the 3' end, to which the tRNAs corresponding amino acid is attached (by aminoacyl-tRNA synthetases). tRNAs cope with the degeneracy of the genetic code in two manners: having more than one tRNA (with a specific anti-codon) for a particular amino acid; and 'wobble' base-pairing, i.e. permitting non-standard base-pairing at the 3rd anti-codon position.
Source: RNAcentral